UGUGAUGUAACUUAGUGGUAAAGUGCCUGCCUAGAAUGCAUAAGGCCCUGGGUUCAAUCCCCUGUACUGAAA
Molecule: transfer RNA, 72 nt
Filed under: Ictidomys tridecemlineatus (thirteen-lined ground squirrel)
Lineage: Eukaryota; Metazoa; Chordata; Mammalia; Rodentia; Sciuridae
Description: Spermophilus tridecemlineatus (thirteen-lined ground squirrel) tRNA
Rfam family: tRNA
About the family: Transfer RNA (tRNA) molecules are approximately 80 nucleotides in length. Their secondary structure includes four short double-helical elements and three loops (D, anti-codon, and T loops). Further hydrogen bonds mediate the characteristic L-shaped molecular structure. tRNAs have two regions of fundamental functional importance: the anti-codon, which is responsible for specific mRNA codon recognition, and the 3' end, to which the tRNAs corresponding amino acid is attached (by aminoacyl-tRNA synthetases). tRNAs cope with the degeneracy of the genetic code in two manners: having more than one tRNA (with a specific anti-codon) for a particular amino acid; and 'wobble' base-pairing, i.e. permitting non-standard base-pairing at the 3rd anti-codon position.
Source: Rfam by way of RNAcentral